CCUACGGGAGGCAGCAGUGAGGAAUAUUGGUCAAUGGUCGGGAGACUGAACCAGCCAAGCCGCGUGAGGGAGGAAGGUACAGAGUAUCGUAAACCUCUUUUGUCUGGGAACAAAGUGUUGGACGCGUCCCAGUAUGUGUGUACCUGAUGAAAAAGCAUCGGCUAACUCCGUGCCAGCAGCCGCGGUAAUACGGAGGAUGCGAGCGUUAUCCGGAUUUAUUGGGUUUAAAGGGUGCGGAGGCGGUUUGUUAAGUCAGCCGUUAAAGGUCGGGGCUCAACCGCAUACCCGCAGUUGAAACUGGCAGCCUCGAGUUGGAGAGAGGUAGGCGGAAGGCGCGGUGUAGCGGUGAAAUGCAUAGAUAUCGCGAAGAACUCCGAUUGCGAAGGCAGCAUGCCAGCUCCACACUGACGCUGAGGCACGAAAGCGUGGGUAUCGAACAGGAUUAGAUACCCGAGUAGUC
Molecule: ribosomal RNA, 460 nt
Filed under: uncultured bacterium
Lineage: Bacteria
Description: partial 16S ribosomal RNA
Rfam family: Bacterial small subunit ribosomal RNA
Source: RNAcentral